ACGAACGCUGGCGGCGUGCCUAAUACAUGCAAGUCGAGCGGAAUGAUGAAGAAGCUUGCUUCUUCUGAUUUUAGCGGCGGACGGGUGAGUAACACGUGGGCAACCUACCUUGUAGAUUGGGAUAACUCCGGGAAACCGGGGCUAAUACCGAAUAAUCCAUUUUGCUUCAUGGCGAGAUGUUAAAAGGCGGCUUCGGCUGUCACUACAAGAUGGGCCCGCGGCGCAUUAGCUAGUUGGUAGGGUAAUGGCCUACCAAGGCGACGAUGCGUAGCCGACCUGAGAGGGUGAUCGGCCACACUGGGACUGAGACACGGCCCAGACUCCUACGGGAGGCAGCAGUAGGGAAUCUUCCACAAUGGACGAAAGUCUGAUGGAGCAACGCCGCGUGAGUGAAGAAGGUUUUCGGAUCGUAAAACUCUGUUGUAAGGGAAGAACACGUACGAGAGUAACUGCUCGUACCUUGACGGUACCUUAUUAGAAAGCCACGGCUAACUACGUG
Molecule: ribosomal RNA, 499 nt
Filed under: uncultured bacterium
Lineage: Bacteria
Description: bacterial SSU rRNA
Rfam family: Bacterial small subunit ribosomal RNA
Source: RNAcentral